GACGAACGCUGGCGGCGUGCUUAACACAUGCAAGUCGAACGGAAAGGCCCUGCUUUUGUGGGGUGCUCGAGUGGCGAACGGGUGAGUAACACGUGAGUAACCUGCCCUUGACUUUGGGAUACUUCAGGAAACUGUGGCUAAUACCGGAUAGGAGCUCCUGCUGCAUGGUGGGGGUUGGAAAGUUUCGGCGGUUGGGGAUGGACUCGCGGCUUAUCAGCUUGUUGGUGGGGUAGUGGCUUACCAAGGCUUUGACGGGUAGCCGGCCUGAGAGGGUGACCGGCCACAUUGGGACUGAGAUACGGCCCAGACUCCUACGGGAGGCAGCAGUGGGGAAUAUUGCACAAUGGGCGGAAGCCUGAGGAAGCAACGCCGCGUGCGGGAUGACGGCCUUCGGGUUGUAAACCGCUUUCGCCUGUGACGAAGCGUGAGUGACGGUAAUGGGUAAAGAAGCACCGGCUAACUACGUG
Molecule: ribosomal RNA, 467 nt
Filed under: uncultured bacterium
Lineage: Bacteria
Description: partial 16S ribosomal RNA
Rfam family: Bacterial small subunit ribosomal RNA
Source: RNAcentral